GGCCCAUUAGCUCAAUUGGUAGAGCAGCUGACUCUUAAUCAGUUGGUUGCAGGUUCGAGUCCUGCAUGGGUCACUA
This 76-nucleotide transfer RNA is filed under the name Anaerolineae bacterium. RNAcentral's name for it is "tRNA-Lys". It matches the Rfam family "tRNA". Rfam says of the family: Transfer RNA (tRNA) molecules are approximately 80 nucleotides in length. Their secondary structure includes four short double-helical elements and three loops (D, anti-codon, and T loops). Further hydrogen bonds mediate the characteristic L-shaped molecular structure. tRNAs have two regions of fundamental functional importance: the anti-codon, which is responsible for specific mRNA codon recognition, and the 3' end, to which the tRNAs corresponding amino acid is attached (by aminoacyl-tRNA synthetases). tRNAs cope with the degeneracy of the genetic code in two manners: having more than one tRNA (with a specific anti-codon) for a particular amino acid; and 'wobble' base-pairing, i.e. permitting non-standard base-pairing at the 3rd anti-codon position. Lineage: Bacteria; Bacillati; Chloroflexota; Anaerolineae. The record is from RNAcentral.